RNAcentral lists this ribosomal RNA (774 nucleotides) under uncultured Neocallimastigales. RNAcentral describes it as "partial large subunit ribosomal RNA". It matches the Rfam family "Eukaryotic large subunit ribosomal RNA", at positions 20 to 614 of the family's 3401-position model. The record is from RNAcentral. Lineage: Eukaryota; Fungi; Neocallimastigomycota; Neocallimastigomycetes; Neocallimastigales.
ACUAGAGUAGCACUCGCAUAUCAAUAAGCGGAGGAAAAGAAACUAACAAGGAUUCCCCUAGUGACGGCGAGUGAAGCGGGAAGAGCUCAAAUUUGAAAUCUUAAAGGGUUUCCCUUUACGAAUUGUAGUUUAAAGAAGUGUUUUCUGUUGAGGUUUUGGUAAAAGUUCUUUGGAAUAGGACAUCAUAGAGGGUGAGAAUCCCGUAUUUGACCUUUACUUUCAACUUUGUGAUACACUUUCAAAGAGUCGGAUUGUUUGGGAAUGCAGUCCAAAAUGGGUGGUAAAUUUCAUCUAAAGCUAAAUAUUGGCGAGAGACCGAUAGCGAACAAGUACCGUGAGGGAAAGAUGAAAAGAACUUUCGAAAAGAGAGUUAAACAGUACGUGAAAUUGUCAAAAGGGAAGCGUUUGACACCAGUGUUGUUUUUCUGAAAAUCAAUUAAAGAACUGUUUAUGCUAAGCUUGUUUAGACUUUAUCAGCUAUCUGUUUAGUUUUGAGCUUUUCUUUAAUGCACUUUUCAGUUAACAAGUCAACAUCAAUUUCUUUUGCUGUAAAAAAGCUUGAGGAAGGUGGCUUGAGAUUCGUCUUAAGUGUUUAUAGCCUCUUGCCUAUGCAGUCGGAGAGAUUGAGGUCUGCAGCGUAGAUCCUUCGGGGCUAAAUGCAUUUGUGCUAAGUUAUAGCAUUUAUAGACAACUUGUUGACUAUGAUUUGUCUUGUAGCUUACUCGCUUAUGUUAUUUUACCUACGCUUAGGAUGUUGAGUCAUCACACAUCUCU